RNAcentral lists this ribosomal RNA (253 nucleotides) under uncultured bacterium. RNAcentral's name for it is "partial 16S ribosomal RNA". It matches the Rfam family "Bacterial small subunit ribosomal RNA", at positions 524 to 776 of the family's 1533-position model. The record is from RNAcentral.
UACGGAGGGUGCAAGCGUUAAUCGGAAUUACUGGGCGUAAAGGGUGCGUAGGUGGUUUGAUAAGUCACAUGUAGAAGCCCCGGGCUCAACCUGGGAAAGUCGUGUGAUACUGUUGGACUUGAGUACGGGAGAGGGCAGUGGAAUUUCCGGUGUAGCGGUGAAAUGCGUAGAUAUCGGAAGGAACACCGGUGGCGAAGGCGGCUGCCUGGCCUGAUACUGACACUGAGGCACGAAAGCGUGGGGAGCAAACAGG